CCUCACUCCUGUUUCCUCUGGGCUCAAGUUUGUGGCCAUUAAAUAGAAGAGGAGAAAGUUUGAACCAGGCAUGAAAUAUUUAUCAGAACCUGAAGAACAUCUCUCUUUCUUCACAAGAAGCUUGUAACACAAUAACUACCACUUAUCGAGCCCCUGCUGAAUGCUUGGAUCUAUGCAAAUAAAAUUUAAUCUGAUCUACAGAACAACUCUAUAAGGUACAGCUGUUGGGAGCUGCAUCUCCUACCCUCAGUCUCCCUGUCUGUGGUUCCAGAGGGAAGAAGAGGGGAAAAAAAGGAUGAAGAGAAUUGUUUCAGUGCUGGGGGAGUCUCCCUCUGAUGCCGAGCCAAAGCUGGACUAUACUGCUGCCAUCUCGGCUCACUGCAACCUCCCUGCCUGAUUCUCCUGCCUCAGCCUGCCGAGUGCCUGCGAUUGCAGGCGAGCGCUGCCAUGCCUGACUGGUUUUCGUAUUUUUUUGGUGGAGACGGUGUUUCGCUGUGUUGGCCAGGCUGGUCUCCAGCUCCUAACCGCGAGUGAUCCGCCAGCCUUGGCCUCCCGAGGUGCCGGGAUUGCAGACGGAGUCUGGUUCACUCAGUGCUCAAUGGUGCCCAGGCUGGAGUGCAGUGGCGUGAUCUCGGCUCGCUACAACCUCC
Long non-coding RNA from Homo sapiens (human), 650 nucleotides. RefSeq lists it as uncharacterized. NCBI's taxonomy places the organism in Eukaryota, Metazoa, Chordata, Mammalia, Primates, Hominidae. The transcript is spliced from 4 exons. The record is from RefSeq and is a predicted model, not a curated record.